ACAUUAGGCUGUGGGAUCCCCGAACUAAAGAUGGCUCUUUGGUGUCGCUGUCCCUCACCUCACACACAGGCUGGGUAACAUCAGUGAAGUGGUCACCUACCCAUGAUCAGCAGCUGAUCUCAGGCUCUUUAGAUAACAUGGUGAAGCUACGGGAUACGAGAAGUUGUAAGGCUCCUCUCUACGAUGUAGCUGCUCAUGAACAUAAAGUUCUAUGUGUGGACUGGACAGACACAGGGCUACUUCUGAGUGGAGGAGCAGACAAUAAAUUGUAUUCCUACACCUAUUCCCCUACCAAUUCCCAUGUGGGGGCUUGAAAAUGAAUGGCUGAUAAGAGAAAAAAA
This 341-nucleotide long non-coding RNA is filed under the name Rattus norvegicus (Norway rat). RNAcentral describes it as "long non-coding RNA NONRATT030004". The record is from RNAcentral. Lineage: Eukaryota; Metazoa; Chordata; Mammalia; Rodentia; Muridae.